AUGAUAAAGCUCUUCAAGAUGAGCGAUCUCGGUCUCCUCAGUUUUUACUUGGGGAUCGAGGUACACCAGGCUCGAACUGGCAUCUCUCUGAACCAGACGGCCUAUGCCGAGAAGAUUCUGGAGCGAGGCGGCAUGACAGGGUGCAACCCGUGCGCGGUGCCCAUGGAGCCUAGACUGAAGCUCAGCAAGCAGAGCACCGCGCCGCUGACGGACGCGACGGAGUACCGCGGCCUAGUUGGAUGCCUGCGUUACCUGGUUCACACCAGGCCAGAUAUCACUUUCGUCGUCGGCUAUGUCUCGCGGUUCAUGGAGGCACCCACCACCGAGCACCUGGCUGCGGUGAGGAAGAUUCUGCGCUACAUCGCCGGCACACUGCAUUGGGGCUGCUUCUACCCAAGGGGGAAAGGAGAUGGCCACCUCGCCGGAUACAGCGACAGCGACAUGGGAGGAGACGUUUGA
This 459-nucleotide ribosomal RNA is filed under the name Triticum aestivum (bread wheat). RNAcentral describes it as "partial small subunit ribosomal RNA". Lineage: Eukaryota; Viridiplantae; Streptophyta; Magnoliopsida; Poales; Poaceae. The record is from RNAcentral.